UAGGGAAUAUUGGACAAUGGGGGCAACCCUGAUCCAGCCAUGCCGCGUGAGUGAAGAAGGCCCUCGGGUUGUAAAGCUCUUUCGCCCGCGAAGAUAAUGACGGUAGCGGGAGAAGGAGCCCCGGCUAACUCCGUGCCAGCAGCCGCGGUAAUACGGAGGGGGCUAGCGUUGUUCGGAAUUACUGGGCGUAAAGCGUACGUAGGCGGAUGCGCAAGUUGGGGGUGAAAUCCCGGGGCUUAACCUCGGAAUUGCCCUCAAAACUGCACGUCUUGAGACCGAGAGAGGUAAGGGGAAUUCCUAGUGUAGAGGUGAAAUUCGUAGAUAUUAGGAAGAACACCAGUGGCGAAGGCGCCUUACUGGCUCGGUACUGACGCUGAGGUACGAAAGCGUGGGGAGCAAACA
This 402-nucleotide ribosomal RNA is filed under the name uncultured bacterium. RNAcentral's name for it is "bacterial SSU rRNA". It matches the Rfam family "Bacterial small subunit ribosomal RNA", at positions 355 to 774 of the family's 1533-position model. The record is from RNAcentral.